RNAcentral lists this long non-coding RNA (924 nucleotides) under Marmota monax (woodchuck). Lineage: Eukaryota; Metazoa; Chordata; Mammalia; Rodentia; Sciuridae. The record is from RNAcentral.
UUGUUUUCUAGUACAUUCAGUAAAAUUCAAGGUAAAUUAUUCUUUGUGUCAUCCUUUUCUCACAGAAGUUGGUUUCUUUACUACCAGAGGAUCAAUGUUUCAUGCAUUUAUUCCAAUGAUUCUCAGGCAGGAGUGAUUUUGCCCCCCAGUGCACAUUUGUCAAAAUGGAGACAUUUUUGAUGAUCAUAUCUGAGGCAGUGCUACUGGCAUCUAGUAGGUAAGAGGUCAGGAAUACAGCUAAACUUCUUACAAUGCCUGCAACAUAAAAGAAUUAUCUGAUUCAAAGUGUCAGUCAUGCAGAAGUUGAUCUAGUCUACAGGAAAUUUUUACCCAGCCCUUCAUCCAAUGUUUUGCCUUUAUGAGAUGAUGAUGGAAAAGAACUCCUUCCCAGAGAGAUGUGGAAAUCCAAAGUAAGUAUAGCAAACCUUGGAGGCAAUUGCUGUCAACUAUACCCAGGUCCCAAAAGGCUUAAUGCAGGUUUCCCCAAUUUAGUCACAGCACCUGCUUGGGUACAAGGUAAGGAGAUAAAUAUUUAUUGCUUACUUAAUAAAGUAUUUGUGACCAAAGAAUAAGGUUUUAUUUCUCUGUUUAAACUAAAGUCAAAUUAAUAGUAUGGUGAAAUGAAUUUCCUGAACAAAGAUCUUUUCUCUGUUAUCUCUUUAACCAAUUAAUCUACUCAGUUACUAGAAGAAGCAAAAUUUUCUUAAACAAUUCUCCCUUUUCUGUAAAUUAGCAGUGAGAGUCUUAAGGGAGAGACCUUGAGCCAGUAAAAGAUAAUGUGUGAGGGCUGGGGCUAGGGCUCGGCAGCAGAGUGCUUGCCUUAUACUUGUGAGGCACUGGGUCUGAGUCUCAGCACCACAUAAAAAUAAACAAACAAAGGUAUUGUGUCCAUCUACAACUAAAACGUGUGUGUGUGUGUGUGUA